UGAAUACGAGACGCUAAGGCGUCGAAGUAGUGUAUGUCAUACUUCCAAGAAAAGCUUGCACUGUCAUAAGUAAAAAAUGCCUGUACCAUAACCGACACAGGUGGGUAGGUAGAGUAUACUAAGGGGCGCGAGAUAACUCUCUCUAAGGAACUCGGCAAAAUAACUCCGUAACUUCGGGAGAAGGAGUACCUUAUUCUAUAAGGUUGCAAUAACAAGAUCCAAGCAACUGUUUAUCAAAAACACAGGUCUCCGCUAAGUCGUAAGACGAUGUAUGGGGGCUGACGCCUGCCCAGUGCCAGAAGGUUAAAGAAGUCGGUUAGCAUUAGCGAAGCUGGUAACUGAAGCCCUGGUGAACGGCGGCCGUAACGAUAACGGUCCUAAGGUAGCGAAAUUCCUUGUCGGGUAAGUUCCGACCCGCACGAAAGGCGUAAUGAUUUGGAUACUGUCUCGGAGAGGGGCUCGGUGAAAUAGACUUGUCUGUGAAGAUGCGGACUACCUGCACCAGGACAGAAAGACCCUAUGAAGCUUUACUGUAACUUGAAAUUGAAAUUGGACUUUAUUCGCGCAGUAUAGGUGGGAGGUGUUGAUUAUAAUCUUGCGGGAUUAUUGGAGCCAUCAGUGAGAUACCACUCUUGUAAUGUUAGAUUUCUAACUUUGAAUCAUUAUCUGGUCAAAGGACAGUUUCAGGCGGGCAGUUUGACUGGGGCGGUCGCCUCCCAAACGGUAACGGAGGCGUACAAAGGUUUCCUCUGAACGGGUAGAAAUCGUAUCUAGAGUGUAAAGGCAUAAGGAAGCUUGACUGUGAGACCUACAAGUCGAACAGGGACGAAAGUCGGUCUUAGUGAUCUGACGGUACUGAGUGGAAAGGCCGUCACUCAACGGAUAAAAGUUACUCUAGGAUAACAGGCUGAUCUCCCCCAAGAGUUCACAUCGACGGGGAGGUUUGGCACCUCGAUGUCGGCUCAUCGCAUCCUGGGGCGGUAGUACGUCCCAAGGGUUGGGCUGUUCGCCCAUGAAAGCGGUACGCGAGCUGGGUUCAGAACGUCGUGAGACAGUUCGGUCCAUAUCCGGUGUAGGCGUUAGAAUAUUGAGAGGAGCCUUCUUUAGUACGAGAGGACCGAGAAGGACAUACCUCUGGUGUACCAGUUAUCGUGCCAACGGUAAACGCUGGGUAGCUAUGUAUGGAGUGGAUAACCGCUGAAAGCAUCUAAGUGGGAAGCCCACCUCAAGAUAAGUAUUCUCAUC
This 1245-nucleotide ribosomal RNA is filed under the name metagenome. Its description in RNAcentral is "bacterial LSU rRNA". It matches the Rfam family "Bacterial large subunit ribosomal RNA", at positions 1564 to 2818 of the family's 2925-position model. The record is from RNAcentral.